UACGUAGGGUGCAAGCGUUAAUCGGAAUUACUGGGCGUAAAGCGUGCGCAGGCGGUUAUGCAAGACAGAUGUGAAAUCCCCGGGCUCAACCUGGGAACUGCAUUUGUGACUGCAUGGCUAGAGUACGGUAGAGGGGGAUGGAAUUCCGCGUGUAGCAGUGAAAUGCGUAGAUAUGCGGAGGAACACCGAUGGCGAAGGCAAUCCCCUGGACCUGUACUAACGCUCAUGCACGAAAGCGUGGGGAGCAAACAGG
RNAcentral lists this ribosomal RNA (253 nucleotides) under uncultured bacterium. RNAcentral's name for it is "partial 16S ribosomal RNA". It matches the Rfam family "Bacterial small subunit ribosomal RNA", at positions 524 to 776 of the family's 1533-position model. The record is from RNAcentral.